GAUGAACGCUGGCGGCGUGCCUAACACAUGCAAGUCGAGCGAUUCUCUUUGGAGAAGAGCGGCGGACGGGUGAGUAACGCGUGGGUAACCUGCCUCAUACACAUGGAUAACAUACCGAAAGGUAUGCUAAUACAGGAUAACAUAAGAGAUUCGCAUGUUUCUCUUAUCAAAGCUCCGGCGGUAUGAGAUGGACCCGCGUCUGAUUAGCUAGUUGGUAAGGUAAUGGCUUACCAAGGCAACGAUCAGUAGCCGACCUGAGAGGGUGAUCGGCCACAUUGGAACUGAGACACGGUCCAAACUCCUACGGGAGGCAGCAGUGGGGAAUAUUGCACAAUGGGCGAAAGCCUGAUGCAGCAACGCCGCGUGAGUGAUGAAGGCCUUCGGGUCGUAAAACUCUGUCCUCAAGGAAGAUAAUGACGGUACUGAGAGAGCCCG
RNAcentral lists this ribosomal RNA (435 nucleotides) under uncultured bacterium. Its description in RNAcentral is "bacterial SSU rRNA". It matches the Rfam family "Bacterial small subunit ribosomal RNA", at positions 28 to 494 of the family's 1533-position model. The record is from RNAcentral.